This 255-nucleotide ribosomal RNA is filed under the name uncultured bacterium. Its description in RNAcentral is "partial 16S ribosomal RNA". It matches the Rfam family "Bacterial small subunit ribosomal RNA", at positions 524 to 776 of the family's 1533-position model. The record is from RNAcentral.
UACGGAGGGGGCGAGCGUUGUCCGAAUUUAUUGGGCGUAAAGCGCGUGUAGGCGGACCUUAAAGCCUGAGGUGAAAGGUUGGGGCUCAACCCCAUACAGUGCCUUGGGGACUUAGGGUCUGGAGGCAGGCAGAGGAGUGUGGAAUUCCUGGUGUAGCGGUGGAAUGCGUAGAGAUCAGGAAGAACACCCAUGGCGAAGGCAGCACUCGUGGGCCGAUACUGACGCUGAGGAGCGAAAGCGUGGGGAGCGAACAGG